UGUUGGGUUAAGUCCCGCAACGAGCGCAACCCUCACUUUUAGUUGCCAUCAUUAAGUUGGACUCUGAAAGAACUGCCAGUGAUAAGCUGGAGGAAGGUGGGGAUGACGUCAAGUCCUCAUGGCCCUUACGUGUUGGGCUACACACGUGCUACAAUGGUAUCUACAACAGGAAGCAAAACUGCGAAGUUAAGCAAAUCCCUAAAAGAUACCUCAGUUCGGAUUGCACUCUGCAACUCGAGUGCAUGAAGCUGGAAUUACUAGUAAUCGUGGAUCAGCGUGCCACGGUGAAUGCGUUCCCGGGUCUU
RNAcentral lists this ribosomal RNA (305 nucleotides) under uncultured marine bacterium pM9-48. RNAcentral's name for it is "bacterial SSU rRNA". It matches the Rfam family "Bacterial small subunit ribosomal RNA", at positions 1073 to 1382 of the family's 1533-position model. Lineage: Bacteria; Pseudomonadati; Pseudomonadota; Alphaproteobacteria; Candidatus Pelagibacterales. The record is from RNAcentral.